CCGCGUGCAGGAAGAAGGCCUUCUGGGUUGUAAACUGCUUUUGUCAGGGGAUAAAAAAUUCCUUGCGAGGAAUAUUGAAGGUACCUGGCGAAUAAGCCACGGCUAACUACGUGCCAGCAGCCGCGGUAAUACGUAGGUGGCGAGCGUUGUCCGGAUUUAUUGGGUUUAAAGGGUGCGUAGGCGGUCCUAUAAGUCAGUGGUGAAAUAUCGCAGCUUAACUGUGAGGGUGCCAUUGAUACUGUAGGACUUGAGUGAAUUUGAGGUAGGCGGAAUUGACGGUGUAGCGGUGAAAUGCUUAGAUAUCGUCAAGAACACCGAUAGUGAAGACAGCUUACCAAGCUUCAACUGACGCUGAGGCACGAAAGUGUGGGGAUCAAACAGGAUUAGAUACCCUGGUAGUCCACACUGUAAACGUUGAUUACUCGCUGUUGGCGAUACACAGCCAGCGGCUAAGCGCAAGCGAUAAGUAAUCCACCUGGGGAGUACGCCGGCAACGGUG
Molecule: ribosomal RNA, 499 nt
Filed under: uncultured Bacteroidota bacterium
Lineage: Bacteria; Pseudomonadati; Bacteroidota
Description: bacterial SSU rRNA
Rfam family: Bacterial small subunit ribosomal RNA
Source: RNAcentral